Molecule: ribosomal RNA, 630 nt
Filed under: uncultured Methylococcaceae bacterium
Lineage: Bacteria; Pseudomonadati; Pseudomonadota; Gammaproteobacteria; Methylococcales; Methylococcaceae
Description: bacterial SSU rRNA
Rfam family: Bacterial small subunit ribosomal RNA
Source: RNAcentral
GGGGGAUCUUCGGACCUCGCGCUAGAAGAUGAGCCUGCGUUGGAUUAGCUAGUUGGUAGGGUAAAGGCCUACCAAGGCGACGAUCCAUAGCUGGUCUGAGAGGGCGAUCAGCCACACUGGGACUGAGACACGGCCCAGACUCCUACGGGAGGCAGCAGUGGGGAAUAUUGGACAAUGGGCGAAAGCCUGAUCCAGCAAUACCGCGUGUGUGAAGAAGGCCUGAGGGUUGUAAAGCACUUUCAAUUGGGAGGAAUACCUAUCGGUCAAUACCCGGUAGCUUGACAUUACCUUUAGAAGAAGCACCGGCUAACUCCGUGCCAGCAGCCGCGGUAAUACGGAGGGUGCGAGCGUUAAUCGGAAUUACUGGGCGUAAAGCGUGCGUAGGCGGUUAGUUAAGUCAGAUGUGAAAGCCCCGGGCUUAACCUGGGAACUGCAUUUGAUACUGGCUAACCAGAGUUUAAGAGAGGGGAGUGGAAUUUCAGGUGUAGCGGUGAAAUGCGUAGAGAUCUGAAGGAACACCAGUGGCGAAGGCGACUCCCUGGCUUAAAACUGACGCUGAGGUACGAAAGCGUGGGUAGCAAACAGGAUUAGAUACCCUGGUAGUCCACGCCGUAAACGAUGUCAACUAGC